This 433-nucleotide ribosomal RNA is filed under the name uncultured bacterium. RNAcentral describes it as "partial 16S ribosomal RNA". It matches the Rfam family "Bacterial small subunit ribosomal RNA", at positions 29 to 507 of the family's 1533-position model. The record is from RNAcentral.
AGCGAACGCUGGCGGCAGGCCUAACACAUGCAAGUCGAACGAACUCUUCGGAGUUAGUGGCGGACGGGUGAGUAACACGUGGGAACGUGCCUUUUGGUUCGGAAUAACUCAGGGAAACUUGUGCUAAUACCGAAUGUGCCCUUCGGGGGAAAGAUUUAUCGCCAUUAGAGCGGCCCGCGUCUGAUUAGCUAGUUGGUGAGGUAACGGCUCACCAAGGCGACGAUCAGUAGCUGGUCUGAGAGGAUGACCAGCCACACUGGGACUGAGACACGGCCCAGACUCCUACGGGAGGCAGCAGUGGGGAAUCUUGCGCAAUGGGCGAAAGCCUGACGCAGCCAUGCCGCGUGAAUGAUGAAGGUCUUAGGAUUGUAAAAUUCUUUCACCGGGGACGAUAAUGACGGUACCCGGAGAAGAAGCCCCGGCUAACUCCGUG